CCUACGGGAGGCUGCAGUAGGGGAUAUUGCACAAUGGGGGAAACCCUGAUGCAGCAAUGCCGCGUGAAUGAUGACGGUCUUAGGGUUGUAAAGUCCUUUUGUAAGAGAAGAUUAUGACGGUACCCUACAAGUAAGCACCGGCUAACUCCGUGCCAGCAGCCGCGGUAAUACGGAGGGGGCAAGCGUUGCUCGGAAUUACUGGGCGUAAAGAGAGCGUAGGCGGGGAAAUAAGUCUGAUGUUAAAUCCUUUGGCUUAACUCCAUAACUGCGUUUGAAACUGUUACUCUGGAGUGUAGUAGAGGUAGGUGGAAUUCUUGGUGUAGGGGUAAAAUCCGUAGAGAUCAAGAGGAAUACUCAUGGCGAAGGCGACCUGCUGG
This 377-nucleotide ribosomal RNA is filed under the name uncultured bacterium. RNAcentral describes it as "partial 16S ribosomal RNA". It matches the Rfam family "Bacterial small subunit ribosomal RNA", at positions 338 to 732 of the family's 1533-position model. The record is from RNAcentral.